This 115-nucleotide small RNA is filed under the name uncultured Anaerococcus sp. RNAcentral describes it as "Streptococcus sRNA SpR18". Lineage: Bacteria; Bacillati; Bacillota; Tissierellia; Tissierellales; Peptoniphilaceae. The record is from RNAcentral.
AAGAGAAUGAAAAAUGACUACUGGUACUCAAAUGGUGCUGGAAGUAAAAAAGAAUAAACUUAAUAAUAGUUCCAAUCACUUUACAUUUGGGAAAAAAAUAGACUGUAGUUUUGAA